This 407-nucleotide ribosomal RNA is filed under the name uncultured Methylomirabilota bacterium. Its description in RNAcentral is "bacterial SSU rRNA". It matches the Rfam family "Bacterial small subunit ribosomal RNA", at positions 1027 to 1434 of the family's 1533-position model. Lineage: Bacteria; Methylomirabilota (SeqCode). The record is from RNAcentral.
CGUGGAGACAGGUGGUGCAUGGCUGUCGUCAGCUCGUGUCGUGAGAUGUUGGGUUAAGUCCCGCAACGAGCGCAACCCUUAUCCUUAGUUGCCAUCAAUUCAGUUGGGCACUUUAAGGAGACUGCCGGUGUCAAACCGGAGGAAGGUGGGGAUGACGUCAAGUCCUCAUGGCCUUUAUGCCCAGGGCUACACACGUGCUACAAUGGGCGGCACAAAGGGAAGCGACGCCGCGAGGUGUAGCAAAUCCCAAAAAACCGUUCUCAGUUCGGAUCGGAGUCUGCAACUCGACUCCGUGAAGUUGGAAUCGCUAGUAAUCGUGGAUCAGCAUGCCACGGUGAAUACGUUCCCGGGCCUUGUACACACCGCCCGUCACACCACGAAAGUCUGCUGUACUCGAAGUCGCUGAG